Lichtheimia corymbifera is the source of this 82-nucleotide transfer RNA. It matches the Rfam family "tRNA". Rfam says of the family: Transfer RNA (tRNA) molecules are approximately 80 nucleotides in length. Their secondary structure includes four short double-helical elements and three loops (D, anti-codon, and T loops). The record is from Rfam. NCBI's taxonomy places the organism in Eukaryota, Fungi, Mucoromycota, Mucoromycetes, Mucorales, Lichtheimiaceae.
GCUUACUUGGAGAAAUUGGUAAACUCUCCGAACUUAAAAUUCGGUGCCGCGAGGCUUGUGGGUUCGAGUCCCACAGUAAGUA